UCGAUGUUGAAUGAAUUAAUUGUAUUUUAAUGUUGAAUGAUGGGGAAGAAAAAUGACGGUUUUAAUUCGAAUCGUUGAACGAUUAGCUUUUCAGAGACGUUGCCCCUGGAAUCUGAAUUGAAUAAAUCGCCGUCAGGCUUGGUGAAACCUUUUCGUACUCGAGGUACAGAAAGGUUUCGUCUCGGUUUCCCUCGUACAAUCCCCUUAACUCGGAGUGGAUCGAACUCCGGUGCAUGCUCGAGGUUCUCGAGAUCGCAUCUCUUCACGAAUGCUCUCACGUGAUACCACUAUAAUGUCAUACGUCGUAACGAUCGGUGCAUAGUAAUAGUCCAAGAACAAACCUGUCACGUUACACGUGGCCAUGUAUAUGGACAAACAUGUAUACAGAUAUAAAUCAUUCCACUUAUACACGGAUGAACCUACACAGACGUGUCAACUGACCGAUCGAUCGAAUUAAUAUUCUCGAUUGUUGAAGCAUGGAAUCGAUGCACAUUGGAAUUUCUCUUGGUUGAGUGCACAAGCUGUAUUGUAAACUCCUCAAGUGGAUUUUACAUCGUACAAACGCAUCAAGUGCUGAUGUAUACACAGAUACAGAAGUCGAAGAAGAUGACCGUCACCGAGAAACGAGCCUGGUGGCAUUUCGUAAAUCUCGCCUGUUUAAACCGUAUCGGUCGGCUUUUCGAGGGUCGAGAGGUGACGGAGGCGGCGGUGGCUGCGUCUUCUUACGUUGACGCGAUAAAGCGCGGUUGAAAGGGGGUUAGGGGGAUCCGGAGGGGCCCUGGAUUGACGUCAUUCGAUGACGUCAACCAGGACCGUGUCGAAACCGCCCAGGAACCACGUGCACAGCCGAAUAUCCUGUCUACGUGACCUAGUGCAGCUGUUCACUCCGCGAAACGAAGUUUUCUAAUACGCUUUUUCCACCAUUUUUCCAACGAAUCGAGUGUAAUUCGAGAUUGGGGGAGAAAGGGAAAUUGAGAAUCUUGGUUCCUUGAGGGAUGUCUUGAAUAAUGUGGAUUAAGAGAUUGAGGAGUGUAUUGAGUAACUAUGUUUUUCUCUUCCUUGGAAUAAUGAUGGAGGU
Apis florea (little honeybee) is the source of this 1078-nucleotide long non-coding RNA. NCBI's taxonomy places the organism in Eukaryota, Metazoa, Arthropoda, Insecta, Hymenoptera, Apidae. The record is from RefSeq and is a predicted model, not a curated record.